UGAAUCACACACAAAAAAUUGUAAUGUUUUAUUUUUCCGACAUUGAAAAGAAAGAGUAAUUCAUAUAGACUUGAAACUGGUUAACACGAUUACAGCACACAAAUAUUUGAAGAACUAACCAACCGGUUCUUCUAAAUGAUAUCACAAAACAUUUAAGUUCGAGGAUAUCCGUGGCAAGCCUUAUUGUAUUGAUCCGUGCAGUGCUCUUGAAUGGGUGUGUUGUUUGGCUUGCCAUGGCAGCUUUUUUCACCCGGUCGGUUACAGGCACUUUGGCCAGCAAUCAACGACUGCCCAACUACAGUACCAGAAAUUGUCUGGAGGAGCCUUAUGCUGAAUUCCGAGUCCAGCAUGAACUCCGAGUCAAAGUCCAACUCAGAGUGUGCAAAACGGCACCCCGUGUCGGUGAGGCCAUUGCACCCGGAGGCGGAGUAGCCGACGGUGACGACGCUGGUGUUGAUGGGGAUGCCAAUGCCAUGGCUUGUGGUGAGCAGGGUCAUGGCCAUCAUCACCAUCAUCAGCUUCAUAGCUCCUCCUGAGUUACUCAUCUUUUGUUUUUGUUUUUGCUUUCUUUUUCUGCUGCAUGCAGUCCUAAAAGCACUGUCGUAUAUAUAUA
Molecule: long non-coding RNA, 613 nt
Filed under: Prunus dulcis (almond)
Lineage: Eukaryota; Viridiplantae; Streptophyta; Magnoliopsida; Rosales; Rosaceae
Description: sRNA ncRNA
Source: RNAcentral